GUAACUAGUAAGAAAGAUUCUGUAGUUGGAACUAACUACCAAUUUUGUUUGUUGAUUAGAGGCAAGCCAGAAAAGAAUCCAGUUCACACUCCUGUAGCUGUGCUGGCUUGGCUGGACUGCUGGGACUGAAAGGAAAAUAACUAAGAAGUACAAAUGCAAAAUGUGAUUUAAAUUAUUGAUUUAAAUCAAUACACCGUGGCUCUCAUCAGCUGUUAGAGUUUAAUGGACCCCUCUUCUCUUCCCUGCCAUGUGGUCUUGGUGUGUGUAGGGGUGGAAACUGCAAUGAGGAGCCAGUCAGCGACUCCAGCAGUGAGAUAUAGGAUGUUAUUUG
Mauremys mutica (yellowpond turtle) is the source of this 331-nucleotide long non-coding RNA. RefSeq lists it as uncharacterized. The record is from RefSeq and is a predicted model, not a curated record. The transcript has 3 exons. NCBI's taxonomy places the organism in Eukaryota, Metazoa, Chordata, Testudines, Geoemydidae.